Molecule: RNase P RNA, 392 nt
Filed under: Terasakiella magnetica
Lineage: Bacteria; Pseudomonadati; Pseudomonadota; Alphaproteobacteria; Rhodospirillales; Terasakiellaceae
Description: Candidatus Terasakiella magnetica RNaseP_bact_a
Rfam family: Bacterial RNase P class A
About the family: Ribonuclease P (RNase P) is a ubiquitous endoribonuclease, found in archaea, bacteria and eukarya as well as chloroplasts and mitochondria.
Source: RNAcentral
CCAGACGGCUGGACGGUCGCUCUCCGGGUCAAACCGGGGGGAGGAAAGUCCGGGCUCCACGGAAAUACGGUGCCGGAUAACGUCCGGCGGGGGCGACCCUAGGGAAAGUGCCACAGAAAGCAAACCGCCCGCGCCUCCUCGGAGCCGCAGGUAAGGGUGAAAGGGUGCGGUAAGAGCGCACCGCGCGACCGGCAACGGAAGCGGCACGGUAAACCCCACCGGGAGCAAGACCAAAUAGGGGCGGCACUGUCCUUCCUUGGAAGGACGAAACGCGUUUCCGCGUCGCCGCCCGGGUCGGUCGCGAGAGGCGUCCGGUAACGGGCGUCCCAGAUGAAUGGCCGUCCAACCCCGCAAGGGGGGGACAGAACCCGGCUUACAGGCCGUCUGGCACC